RNAcentral lists this ribosomal RNA (328 nucleotides) under uncultured eukaryote. RNAcentral describes it as "partial 18S ribosomal RNA". It matches the Rfam family "Eukaryotic small subunit ribosomal RNA", at positions 1470 to 1796 of the family's 1831-position model. The record is from RNAcentral.
CCCUUAGAUGUCCUGGGCCGCACGCGCGUUACACUGAUGCAUUCAACGAGCUUAUAACCUUGGCCGAGAGGCCUGGGCAAUCUUGUUAACGUGCAUCGUGAUAGGGAUAGAUUAUUGAAAUUAUUAAUCUUGAACGAGGAAUUCCUAGUAAACGCAGAUCAUCAAUCUGCAUUGAUUACGUCCCUUCCCUUUGUACACACCGCCCGUCGCACCUACCGAUUGGAUGGUCCGGUGAAGCCUCGGGAUUGUGGUUCUUGCCGCUUUAUUGUGGCGUGACCGCGAGAACUUGUCUAAACCUUAUCAUCUAGAGGAAGGUGAAGUCGUAACA